UUUAAGGCCUGAAGUGGGCGGUGUCCUCUCAGGCCGCGAGUUUUCUGCUCUGCAGGCUCUUCUAGCAGAAUUUUUCCACGCAAACUCUCCGUAGCCGCUGAAAAGGAGACUGAGGCACAGUAAAAGGAAGUGAUUGUCCAAGGACAUGCCAGCUCUUAGAGGUGGGAGAAGAGAGUCCAGGACCACGAGAUGAUGACAAGGCCAGAGGAGAGCUGGGAGUCAGCUUGCUGGAAGCACAUAAUGCCAGGCCCCAGG
Molecule: long non-coding RNA, 255 nt
Organism: Dama dama (fallow deer)
Lineage: Eukaryota; Metazoa; Chordata; Mammalia; Artiodactyla; Cervidae
Exons: 3
Source: RefSeq, a predicted model, not a curated record